RNAcentral lists this ribosomal RNA (253 nucleotides) under uncultured bacterium. RNAcentral describes it as "partial 16S ribosomal RNA". It matches the Rfam family "Bacterial small subunit ribosomal RNA", at positions 524 to 776 of the family's 1533-position model. The record is from RNAcentral.
UACGUAGGGGGCUAGCGUUGUCCGGAAUCAUUGGGCGUAAAGCGCGUGUAGGCGGUCCGAUAAGUCCGCUGUGAAAGUCGGGGGCUCAACCCUCGGAUGCCGGUGGAUACUGUCGGGCUUGAGUACGGAAGAGGCGAGUGGAAUUCCUGGUGUAGCGGUGAAAUGCGCAGAUAUCAGGAGGAACACCAAUUGCGAAGGCAGCUCGCUGGGACGUUACUGACGCUGAGACGCGAAAGCGUGGGGAGCAAACAGG